This 250-nucleotide ribosomal RNA is filed under the name uncultured bacterium. RNAcentral's name for it is "partial 16S ribosomal RNA". It matches the Rfam family "Bacterial small subunit ribosomal RNA", at positions 524 to 773 of the family's 1533-position model. The record is from RNAcentral.
UACGAAGGGUGCAAACGUUGCUCGGAAUUAUUGGGCGUAAAGCGCACGUAGGCGGCUUAGCAUGUCGGAAGUGAAAUCCCACGGCUCAACCAUGGAAGUGCUUUCGAAACUGCUAAGCUUGAGUACGAAAGAGGAUCGCGGAAUUCCCGGUGUAGAGGUGAAAUUCGUAGAUAUCGGGAGGAACACCAGUGGCGAAGGCGGCGAUCUGGGUCGAUACUGACGCUGAGGUGCGAAAGCGUGGGGAGCAAAC